Molecule: long non-coding RNA, 672 nt
Filed under: Triticum aestivum (bread wheat)
Lineage: Eukaryota; Viridiplantae; Streptophyta; Magnoliopsida; Poales; Poaceae
Description: long non-coding RNA (TAES_LNC026831)
Source: RNAcentral
CCCAUUUACAAACUGACACAAUCGCAUCAUAAGCAUUCAUAUCACAAGGAAAUCAUUGCUCCAUAUGACAUAAAAACCAUUAAAUGAAAAUGUGUAGAACAUACAUGGUAAAUUAAUUUGGUUACAUCUAUAGCAAAUGGCCUGCCGACAAACAACCUUGGGCGAAGUGUACAGAAUUUUCACAUAAAUCUAGCUAGUUAUCGAAAUCUUCAUCAAACCUGACAGAGAGAAAGGAGAUGGCAGAUCAAGAUGAGUGAGGUAAUUGCCCCCUGAAUCUGGUACAUGAACAAAAUGAAUGGGUAGGAAGCAAGAGUCCGUGGAUUGGGGAUUAAUAAACGCAUCAUUAGGCUAGAAUAUUGAGCAACUGGUAAGGGAGGAAGAUGUACCUUGUACCCGUAGAUGGAUAUUGGCGGCCAUGGCGAGGCUCCAGAUUUUUGCUGCACGACAAAAAGAGACAAAGAGGGGCGGAACCCUAGACCAGCAACGAAUCAGAUCAAAUCAGGCCGGCCUACCCUGUGCAUGGUUGGAGGGAGGCGGGAUGGACGACACUUACGUGUAAAGCUGAACUGCAGCUCCAGCUUCCGCUCGAGGAUGUUGAUGAGCUUGUAGAUGAUGCCCUUCUGUUUGAAGCUCCACCCAUCCUUCAGAUCAAUUGCCUUGCGCUCCUUCCCC